RNAcentral lists this ribosomal RNA (504 nucleotides) under Juga nigrina. Its description in RNAcentral is "partial large subunit ribosomal RNA". It matches the Rfam family "Bacterial large subunit ribosomal RNA", at positions 1816 to 2597 of the family's 2925-position model. Lineage: Eukaryota; Metazoa; Mollusca; Gastropoda; Semisulcospiridae. The record is from RNAcentral.
GGCUCUCUGCUUAUAUAAAUAUAGGGAGUCGAGCCUGCCCAGUGAAUUUUUAAACGGCCGCGGUACUCUGACCGUGCAAAGGUAGCAUAAUCAUUUGCCUUAUAAUUGAAGGCUAGUAUGAAUGGUUUGACGAGAACAAUACUGUCUCCUUUUUAUUUUCAAGAACUUAACUUUUAGGUGAAGAGGCCUAAAUUUUAUUGAAGGACAAGAAGACCCUAUCGAGCUUAAAAGACAUUAUAGGAGUUUAUAUAUUUUUAAAUAAAUUUUCUAUUAAGCUUUUUAGUUGGGGCGACUAAGGAACAAAAAAAGCUUCUUGCUGAUAAUAAGCAGUCAUGUUUAGAUCCGAUAAUAAUCGAUCAAAGAAAUUAGUUACCGUAGGGAUAACAGCAUAAUCUCUCUUGAGAGACCUAAUCGAAAGAGGGGGUUGUGACCUCGAUGUUGGACUAGAAUAUCCUAAAGAUGCAGAAGUCUUUGAGGGUCGGUCUGUUCGACCGUUAAAAUUCU